This is a small nuclear RNA of Jaculus jaculus (lesser Egyptian jerboa), 107 nucleotides long. The record is from Ensembl. NCBI's taxonomy places the organism in Eukaryota, Metazoa, Chordata, Mammalia, Rodentia, Dipodidae.
GUGCUUGCUUCAGCAGCACAUACAUUAAAAUUGAAGCUAUACAGACAACACUAGCAUGGCCCCCGCGCAAGGAUAACAUGCAAAUUCGUGAAGUAUUCCAUAUUUUU